CUACGGGUCGCACCAGUGGGGGAUAUUGCACAAUGGGCGAAAGCCUGAUGCAGCAACGCCGCGUGAAGGAAGACGGUUUUCGGAUUGUAAACUUCUAUCAGCAGGGAAGAAAAUGACUGUACCUGACUAAGAAGCCCCGGCUAACUACGUGCCAGGCAGCCGCGGUAAUACGUAGGGGGCAAGCGUUAUCCGGAAUUACUGGGUGUAGAGGGUACGUAGGCGGCUGAUCAAGUCAGAUGUGAAAGCCCGGAGCUCAACUCCGGGACUGCAUUUGAAACUGGUCGGCUAGAGUGCAGGAGAGGAAAGUGGAAUUCCUAGUGUAGCGGUGAAAUGCGUAGAUAUUAGGAAGAACACCAGUGGCGAAGGCGGCUUUCUGGACUGUAACUGACGCUGAGGUACGAAAGCGUGGGGAGCGAACAGGAUUAGAUACCCCCGUAGUC
This 440-nucleotide ribosomal RNA is filed under the name uncultured bacterium. Its description in RNAcentral is "partial 16S ribosomal RNA". It matches the Rfam family "Bacterial small subunit ribosomal RNA", at positions 339 to 795 of the family's 1533-position model. The record is from RNAcentral.